Long non-coding RNA from Acromyrmex echinatior (Panamanian leafcutter ant), 856 nucleotides. RefSeq lists it as uncharacterized. The record is from RefSeq and is a predicted model, not a curated record. Lineage: Eukaryota; Metazoa; Arthropoda; Insecta; Hymenoptera; Formicidae.
AUGAUGUGGUGAGGAUGAUCGAACUCCGAUUACUUUUAUUAAUAUAGAUUUAUUGAUCAUCUAUUGCUUAACCCUCUGAUGGGGCGUGUUUGGAUUCUCACCCGGGUGCUCCCUGCCCUCUGGGUAUUAUGUAAUCUUGUUUAACAUUUGAUAAACAACAAGGAUGGAGUGAUACCUGAGUGAUACUCUGAUACAAAUUUGAACCCAGCAUUUAAGCUAGAAGAUAGAUUAUUUCAGGAACUUCAGGAUAUUAUGAAAUUAUUUGGAUUCUGAUCUGAAAAUUGUUCAAUUACAACAAUUCAGCUAUAUUGCCAUAACAUUAAAAAAAUGUUAAAAUUCUGCUGAUGCAAGAUUUUGUGCUGCAUGAAUUUAGCAUCAGCUUUGGAGGAUUAAUGUAUUUAUAAAAAAAAAGACAAAUUAUUAAGAAAUUUAGCGAUCUCAAGAAUUGAAUUUGAUUGUGGAUUAAAUUGAUCGAAUCUUGGUGGAAGUUACUCCGAAAAUAUAUAUACAGUCGAUUCUCUGAAUCUUUUUUUGUAAGUUCAGACAUCAAGUUUUUGUUUUCUAUCAUUUUCUGCAUACGAAAUCGGACACUGGCAUCGAUUUUUUUUUUCUUGUCGACAGAAUCAUAGCCUGAGUAUUGAAAUGGACAAAGGGUGGAUGGAUAGCGAUAAAUAGAUGAGAACUGAAUCGGUUUCGAUUUUGAUUUUAUUUCCUUUUCCUGAUACGUAAUGCACAACACGUUUCAUUAGCCUUCGCCAACGAACAGCACGUACGAUCGUAAUUGCUACAGUUCUCUUUUCUCUUUUUUUUUUAAUUUUUUUUUCGCACUUACAGUACGUACAAGUGCACCGCGUGC